UCCCUGGUGGCUCAGAUGGUAAAGCAUCUGCCUGAUAUGCAGGAGACCCGGGUUUGAUCCCUGGGUUGGGAA
Molecule: transfer RNA, 72 nt
Filed under: Ovis aries (sheep)
Lineage: Eukaryota; Metazoa; Chordata; Mammalia; Artiodactyla; Bovidae
Rfam family: tRNA
About the family: Transfer RNA (tRNA) molecules are approximately 80 nucleotides in length.
Source: Rfam by way of RNAcentral